UUUACAGGUUUUCAAUGCACUCUCUCUGACCUCAUAUAUUUUUGAGUAAUCCAAGAAAAAAAGUGCAAUACUGAAUUGUUCUAUACACUUUUUUUCUUGGAUUACUCAAAAAUAUAUGAGGUCAGAGAGAGUGCAUUGAAAAUCUGUAAA
RNAcentral lists this microRNA precursor (150 nucleotides) under Pelobates cultripes (western spadefoot toad). Lineage: Eukaryota; Metazoa; Chordata; Amphibia; Anura; Pelobatidae. The record is from RNAcentral.